CUGUUAGAUCUGGAGAGCCGCCACCACCACUUCAGCUGAAUGGAGCAGCUCAAGGUACUUCUAAGGCGUUGAGACUCUUAGUGCUAGUCUGGCGACUCUGGCCGCUAGGAACCGGGUGAAUCGCAUCUGGGAUUGUUAGUGUUUCACUGCUGUAUUUGUGCUCAAAUCUGGUGAAAAAGGUCUCAUGUAGGCCUACAGUAUGAUUCAUUAGACACCAUCUUUGGUCAGAUUAUGGGACUUGAAGACUAGAUAUACUGUAGGACACAGGUGAUUCUCUUGUUAGUCCCAAACUAUUGAAGGAUUGUAUUUUUCCAAGGUAAAACCAUGGCCUUUCUCAUCACCUUGGGACAGAUGCUACUGCUCACAACAGUUAUCUUCCACCACACAGGAUCCCUCCCUCUGUGGGAGAGGUAAGAUUCUCUUUUCCACUCAUUUAGAGAUCACCUUCACUCCAUUUGGUCCUCUGCAACUACAUCAUUUCAACCAGUUUUGCCCGCUGGGAUCAUACAUAGGUAAUAUAAUAAUUGAUUUGAUUUAGCAGACACUUUUAACUUGGUGGUUCCGGGAAUCAAACCCACUAUCCUGGCGAUGCAAGUGCCAUGUUCUAGCAACUAACCUAUAGAGGACCAUGUGUAGUGGGUGUACGUAGCUGGUGUAUGUUAUCCGACAACAUAAUAUCAUAUCAUCUCAUCACCACAGUAACCAAGGGGAUCUGGAGGGGAUCAUCGGGAGUGAGAUCAGUCAUUUAAACACCCAGUCCCUGUUCGCCAGGAACUAUGUGAAUGCCCUGGUUGAAGCCAGACUGAGGUAAGUUACAGAGUCCAUGCUCCUCAUAUCAACCAGUCUCUCUUACUAUGGGGGCUUCAUGUGUGACAUGUAACUGCAUUAGUUAAGUAUCCUAAUAAGAACAUAUUGGCAAUAUAAGCACGAGUACUCACGUUUUCACCAUUUCAAUUAUCCCCCUGUUAUUCCACUCAAUCCAGAUCGGGCCCACAGACGAGACAGUUGGGGGACAUUGAGUUUUCCAACCGAUACGCUGAGUACUUGAGGUCCAAAGCUAAGCACAGCUCAAUCUGCGCGUUCCUCCGACGCAUGCAGAGUGCUAAGAAAAGUGGGUUAGGAGGAGAUACAGAGAAGGUCAACCUGCUGUUGAAACAGUACAUGUGUCCCAAUGUCUACCACUGGGCGGCUGAGUUAUAACUGGAGGACAACAGGGCUGGAAAUGUGGGAAACGACUGAAGUCUCCAACCUGGACUACUAUGGAAGUCUGACUGCCUAAUGUUACAGUAGUAACCAGUGGGCUGUUUGAACAUUUUAAGAUAAUCUAAUAGAAUUUGUUGUUUGUAUGUUUAAUCAGUCAUGGAAGGUUAUGACAUUUGGAGGUCUCAGAGGGUAAUAAAUAUGGUUUAUUAAUUCGACUAAUCUGUAGUUAUUUGAAUGACUUUUUUCUUCCAGAAGGAACUUCAGUUGUGGCAAGUUGGAUAAGAUAAAUCUAACGAUGUAUAGUGAACAUAUAAACAGCAACAUUCACACAUGACAGAUAUAAACGCUUACAAGGUAUGUGCAAGGUAAAUGUAAGUUACACAACUCUAUUUAAUUAAAGAGCUGUGCUCUACAAGACAAACACAAGUCACACAAAUAAAAUGUUCACUUAAAAGAUACUGAUAUCGGUACAAAACUGUAGUGGCUCUCUUGGUUUAAAGAGCUAAGAACCGGAGUCUGUGCCCUGAUGGCAGUAUCUUAUAUUGGCUGUUCAGUGGAUGUGUAAGAUCCAAAACUAUUUAUUUACCCCUCUUACAUGUGCACUCUUUGUAAAUGUCUCAGAAAGACAGAUAUGGCUAUCUCCUACCUGUACCACCAGUGUCAGUAAUGACGUUCAUGAUUAAACAUUAACAAACUAUUCAGAAAUAUGUUCUUUAUUAUCUGAAACAUAUGAAAACAUUUAGAAGCAUGAUUAUUUAUGAUUAUUUAUGAUUAUUUAUGACACUUUUAAAAGUAAUGGCUAAUUUAUGAAAGUUCAAAAAAAAAAAAAAAA
This is a long non-coding RNA of Oncorhynchus kisutch (coho salmon), 2035 nucleotides long. NCBI's taxonomy places the organism in Eukaryota, Metazoa, Chordata, Actinopteri, Salmoniformes, Salmonidae. The record is from Ensembl.